RNAcentral lists this long non-coding RNA (3976 nucleotides) under Sus scrofa (pig). RNAcentral's name for it is "lncRNA (ENSSSCG00025012557.1)". Lineage: Eukaryota; Metazoa; Chordata; Mammalia; Artiodactyla; Suidae. The record is from RNAcentral.
AAGGCAGUAAGCGCUCAGAUGAUAGAAUGCGGUGCCUCCAGACAAGAUACUGUCAUCAUCAGGGCGUCAGCAUACAUCCAGCUUUGUGAGCGAAGACCUGCUCUAGUCAGGCUCUUGCUGUGCUCUGUGACUCCAUGUUCCCAAGUUUUGUGCUUUUCAGAUAUCAUCUCUCCACUUCGGGUGCAUGUCCGAGAAUCCCAUUCUGUCAUUAUUUGAUAAGCACAGUAAAAAUAUUCUUUUAUCACACUUUUCAGAUUUAAGCAUCUUUUCUGACACUGUGUAGGUCCAGCUGCUACUUGGCCUUCUCUAGACAUAUUUUGCAUGGAUAAUGCAUUUGCAUUUGAAGAGUCAUCUGUUAUUUUGCUUUCUCCCUUCCAUAGCAAUUUGGUUGACUUCUUGUCUAGCAAAGCCAUUCUCAUCAGAGUUCUUUCUCUUUCCCUGCAUGAUUUGACUACCAAUGAAAACUUGCUAUUGAGACAUCUUGUCACCCUUAGGACAAAAAAUGGCUGUAGAUUUUUAGGCAGCAGCCGAUCAAUCAUUCUUCCAUUUACCAGCAUGGAAACCAAUUUGGCAGAGAUGUCAUGUGAGAAUACGCCUUGGCUCUUUGAGUUAUUAUGGCAUAACGCCAUGUGUAACUGAUGCUAUUUUCAACAUAACAAAUUAUUUUUGUACAUUUUUACAAUUCAUAUAAGGUAAGAAAGUAUAGCAUGAACAUAGAAUAAAUGCUAAGUGUCCUAAGCAAAAAAAGAGGAAAGGGGAAUAAAGAGUGAAAGAAAAUGCAAGAAACAAAAUUGUGGCUGUGCUAAUUUUAUCGUUGGCACUGACCUCUUUCUUUUGAGUCAAGACCGUGUGUUGAUGGGCCCAUGCUGCAGGCAGAUACUGACCACGGGUUUCCCCUCUAUCUGAAAAGUAGAGCCUUUCUGCAAGCUGAAAUGGCUUCAAAGGAAGAAGCAAUUACUUUGGGACACAUCCUGCCAAGGGAUGCACAGAAUAAAUCGAGGUAAAACACAGAUGCUCACACAGUUCAGAGCUCUGGGGGCCUGAUGCUGAUAUGCUGAGUCUGGUUCCUGGGGAAGGAGCUUGCACAGCCACUCAUCCUGCUCAGGUGCACCAGCCUCAGUAGUGACUCCUUACAAAACAAAUGCUGAAUGUUAUCUUCACUUUGCACCUUUAUUUCAAGGAAGUGAAAAUCCUCUUAGGAUGUCUUCUUUUUUAACUUUCCAGAAUAAUUUUAUUUAUGUGUUUUUAAAAAAUAAUUAUUGGAGUAUACUUGACUUACAAUGUGUGUUAGUUUCAAGUGUACAGCAAAGUGAAUCAAUUAUACAUAUACACAUAUCCAUUCUUUUUCAGAUUCUUUUCCAUUAUAGGUUAUUACAGAAUACUGAGUAGAGUUCCCUGUGCUAUACAGUAGGUUCUUGUUAAUUAUCUAUUUUAUAUAUAAAUGUGUGUAUAUGUUAAUCCCAAACUCCUAAUUUAUCCCUCCCCCUCCUGUUUCCCCUUUGGUGACCAUAAAUUUAAUUUCAGAAUCUGCGAGUCUAUUUCUGUUUUGUAAAUAAGUUUAUUUGUAUCUUUUCAAAAAUUAGAUUCCACAUAUGAGUGAUAUAUUCUUUCUGUUAGCAAAAACAGGUGCAAAUAUAGGUCUUUCCCAAAAGCAAAGUGGUGGAAAAUGAACUUUCAAAAAGUGGGGAUAAUUGUAUAGAAGUGUGCUUAUAAGAUUAUGUGUUUUUUUUCCAUUGGACGUUCUCAGGCAAGGCAUCUAAGUCGCACCUCAGCAGUAAUCUGAGCCACUUCAGUGACAAUGCUGGGUCCUUAGCUCGCUGAGCCACAAGAGAACUAACUCCAAGAUUAUAAAUCUUAUUUACAUAAAAUAUAGUUUAAAAGUUCACGAACAAAAUAAUACGUGUGUAUUUCAAAGUGUUUCUAACAAUGCCAGAAGUGCUGUCCAUUUUAGAUUGUACUGUAGUUUUAAUGGUCUAUACUCUGACAAAAUAUGUAAAUAGAGUAUUUUUGAUAUUUUCCUAUACUCAGAAAUAUAUAUGUAUACUUGUAUUUCAAAGAGCUAUAUCUACAUAAAUAGUUUUCCUGAAUAAAUAUGUAUUUCUGUAGCUUCAUGGGACAAUCUGCAGCAGGUGGAUUCUAUCAAAUGUUUAACAAAGAAAUAAUACAAAACUCAUACAGAUAUCUCUAGGAAAUAGAAGGAUGGUUCAGCUUGUUUUUUGAGGCCAGAGGACAUUGAUUCCAACAUCAGAUGAAGAUACUGCAAGGAAAGAAAAUAGUAGAAGAGUUAUCCUUCAUGAGUUCAAACUUAAAAAAAAAAAACAAAAAACAUUAGCAACUGAAUUUAGCAACAUAUUAAAAAGAGUAAUUGAGUAGGGCCAAGAAAGAUUAAAUCAAGCAAGGUCGAUUUAACAUUAAAAAUGUAUUAAUGUGCAGAGUUCCUGUCGUGGCUCACUGGUAAUGAACCUGACUAUAUCCAUGAGGCUGGGGUUUCUAUCCCUGGCCUUGCUCGGUAGGUCAAGGAUUCAGCGUUGCCUUGAGCUGUGUUGUAGGUCACAGAUGCAGCUCGGAUCCCAUGUGGCUGUGGCUGUGGUGUAGGCUGGCAGCUGCAGCUCUGAUUCAACUCCUAGCCUGGGGACUAGCGUAUGCUGUAGGUGUGGUCCUAUAAAGAAAAUAUAUAUAUAUAUAUAUAUAUAUGUAUAUAUAAGUAUAGUUUAUCACAUAAACAAAUGAGAAAAUUACAUGAUCACGAAGAUAAAUGCAGAAAGCCUUUUGAAAACAUCAGCAUCUAUCCAUUCAUAAAAAAAUAAGUGAAACGAUCUUCAUCAUGUACUCUGUUUCCCUCCGUGUCCGUCGAACCUGAACCUAGAGCUUAACCUCUGAGGGCUGGGUUUUCUUAGCUGUGGUGUUCUCAGGUGCGAUCGAAGAGAAAAUUUAAGCUACUCUUAUUUUAGGUUGAGCUUUCAUUUCCUAUAUUUCAUAUAUUCCACUCAUAUUCAUUCUGUAAUGAGAACUAAUUCUUCUAGGGGCUAAAAUGAUAAAACUAGAUAAAGAAAGAAGAGUAACUGGAUUUCUGAAAAAAGGCCUCUCUGACUCUGAGUCCUUUGACUAUACUGCUGUUCUUUGAGCACUAGAAGGGAGAGCAGUGUGGAGAGAAAAGAGGUUAGAAGGCUUUGCAUAAAGCAAAUACAUUCCUGUUCUGUCGAAAUUGUAAUUUGAUGGCCUGUGAAGUAUUUCUCAUACGUUUCCCAAUAACUUAUUUUCUUUUGAGACUUGCCUUAGGUAAGUCUCGGCUACUUACCUAGGAAGAGCAAUUUGGCGAAGUUGAUGCCAGAUGCAUUCAUGAUGGGUAGAAUGGGGCCAGCUGGGGGGCCACACACAUCUGGGCCAUUCACCCUGGGUUUAGGGUUUAUAGCUCAUUUGGAAGAUAAUUGUGCUAUGCUGGUGCACAGAUUUUUAUUUUGUUCUUUUUCCUGAAUCCCAUCUUUUGCAAUUUUAGAUGAUGUCUUCAUCAUCUUGCAAAAUUAAUAUGAUUUUUGAAAACUAUUUAUUUAUGUAUUUUUGGCCAUAUCCGUGGCCUGCAAAAGUUCCCAGGCCAGUGAUCGAACCCUUGCCACAACAGUGACCCCAGCUGCUGCAGUGAACACUGGAUCCUUGAUCUGUUGUACCGCAAGGGAACUCCAAUAUGAUUUUCAUUAAAAUAUUUUGCACUGGGAGUUCCCGUCGUGGCGCAGUGGUUAACGAAUCCGACUAGGAACCAUGGGGUUGCGGGUUCGGUCCCUGGCCUUGCCCAGUGGGUUAACGAUCCGACGUUGCCGUGAGCUGUGGUGUAGGUUGCAGAUGCGGCUCGGAUCCCGCGUUGCUGUGGCUCUGGCGUAGGCCGGCGGCUACAGCUCCGAUUCGACCCCUAGCCUGGGAACCUCCAUAUGAUGUGAGAGCGGCCCAAGAAAUAGCAAAAAGACAAAAAAAAAAAAAAAAA